RNAcentral lists this ribosomal RNA (301 nucleotides) under uncultured bacterium. Its description in RNAcentral is "partial 16S ribosomal RNA". It matches the Rfam family "Archaeal small subunit ribosomal RNA", at positions 459 to 760 of the family's 1478-position model. The record is from RNAcentral.
CAGCCGCCACGGGAACACCAGCACCUCGAGUGGUCAGGAGGUUUAUUGGGCCUAAAGCAUCCGUAGCCGGUUGCAUAAGUUUUCGGUUAAAUCUAUGCGCUUAACGUAUAGGCCGCCGAAAAUACUGUGCAGCUAGGGAGUGGGAGAGGUACACGGUACUCGAUAGGAAGGGGUAAAAUCCUUUGAUCUAUUGAUGACCACCUGUGGCGAAGGCGGUGUACCAGAACACGUUCGACGGUGAGGGAUGAAAGCUGGGGGAGCAAACCGGAUUAGAUACCCGUGUAGUCCCUGUCUCUUAUAC